This 259-nucleotide ribosomal RNA is filed under the name uncultured prokaryote. RNAcentral's name for it is "partial 16S ribosomal RNA". It matches the Rfam family "Bacterial small subunit ribosomal RNA", at positions 524 to 782 of the family's 1533-position model. The record is from RNAcentral.
UACGGAGGAUCCUAGUGUUAUCCGGAUUUAUUGGGUUUAAAGGGAGCGUAGGCGGGAGGUCAAGUCAGCUGUGAAAUGUAUCUGCUUAACGGGUACACUGCAGUUGAAACUGGUUUUCUUGAGUGCGUAAGAGGCAGGCGGAAUUCGUUGUGUAGCGGUGGAAUGCGCAGAUAUCAGGAGGAACACCGAUGGCGAAGGCAGGUCUCUGGGCCACUACUGACGCUGAGGAGCGAAAGCAUGGGUAGCGAACAGGAUUAGA